AUUUAUUAACUUUUUUAACCUGAAAAAUUAGGUUAUCUCUUCAGGGAUUUACUAAUUUGAUGUGUUAAAACGGUUCUCUCUUUGCACGUCAAACCCUAAAUAUGACACAUUUUCAACAACAACCUGGACCGCUUGAAGAAGGAAGCAGUCUGGGACGAGGACAGCGCCACCUGGAGACUGCCAGAUGUGAUGGUGCAGAAAACAACACUGCCUUCAGAGUGGCGACCCAAAUCAGUGUGGUGCAGAACGCACCAAGGAAACAUACAACUCUGCUGUUGAACGCCUCAAGACUGAAGAAAUGGGUGAUAUGGACCAAAGCAGCAUAAGUAAUGCCAUUACAAAGGUUUUGCCCGACCUUGCACCUUCAGUUCUUGGUAUUGUUGUGGAGACACUGCAGUCAUUGGGUGUAGAAACCACUGAAGAUUUUGACUUCGUCCAGGAGAGUGAUUUGAUGUCUGUUCUUAGACUGAUUCAAGCAAGAAAACUGGUGGCUGCGUGGAAAAAAAACUCACAAAGUACUGAAAUUCACAUCCAGUCAUCAUUAUCCUCUUCUACCUCACCAACAAGCUCCUCAGUCUCUCUUUCACCUUCACCUGGCCGAGUCCUUGCUGUUUUAGACUGGGUUGACAGCUUCCAGAUUCCAUGGGAUAAGUUUCCAGAAGCUUUGCUGCAGUGUUUGGAGAGAGGGAAGAGGCCAGCGCCAAAGUUGAGAAGAGAAAU
Long non-coding RNA from Oreochromis aureus, 720 nucleotides. NCBI's taxonomy places the organism in Eukaryota, Metazoa, Chordata, Actinopteri, Cichliformes, Cichlidae. The record is from Ensembl.